RNAcentral lists this ribosomal RNA (495 nucleotides) under uncultured bacterium. Its description in RNAcentral is "partial 16S ribosomal RNA". It matches the Rfam family "Bacterial small subunit ribosomal RNA", at positions 28 to 507 of the family's 1533-position model. The record is from RNAcentral.
GACGAACGCUGGCGGCGUGCCUAAUACAUGCAAGUAGAACGCUGAAGGAGGAGCUUGCUCUUCUGGAUGAGUUGCGAACGGGUGAGUAACGCGUAGGUAACCUGCCUGGUAGCGGGGGAUAACUAUUGGAAACGAUAGCUAAUACCGCAUAACAGUAGAUGUUGCAUGACAUUUGCUUAAAAGGUGCAAUUGCACCACUACCAGAUGGACCUGCGUUGUAUUAGCUAGUUGGUGGGGUAACGGCUCACCAAGGCGACGAUACAUAGCCGACCUGAGAGGGGGAUCGGCCACACUGGGACUGAGACCAGGCCCAGACUCCUACGGGAGGCAGCAGUAGGGAAUCUUCGGCAAUGGACGGAAGUCUGACCGAGCAACGCCGCGUGAGUGAAGAAGGUUUUCGGAUCGUAAAGCUCUGUUGUAAGAGAAGAACGAGUGUGAGAGUGGAAAGUUCACACUGUGACGGUAUCUUACCAGAAAGGGACGGCUAACUACGUG